GGCCUGGUAGCCAAGUGGUAAGGCGGAAGUCUGCAAAACUUCUAUACGGGGGUUCGACUCCCCCCCAGGCCUCAA
This 75-nucleotide transfer RNA is filed under the name Candidatus Beckwithbacteria bacterium CG10_big_fil_rev_8_21_14_0_10_34_10. RNAcentral's name for it is "tRNA-Cys". It matches the Rfam family "tRNA". Rfam says of the family: Transfer RNA (tRNA) molecules are approximately 80 nucleotides in length. Their secondary structure includes four short double-helical elements and three loops (D, anti-codon, and T loops). The record is from RNAcentral. Lineage: Bacteria; Candidatus Beckwithiibacteriota.